This 256-nucleotide ribosomal RNA is filed under the name uncultured bacterium. RNAcentral's name for it is "partial 16S ribosomal RNA". It matches the Rfam family "Bacterial small subunit ribosomal RNA", at positions 524 to 777 of the family's 1533-position model. The record is from RNAcentral.
UACGGAGGGUGCGAGCGUUGUCCGGAAUCAUUGGGCGUAAAGGGCGCGUAGGUGGCGGGACAAGCGUGCGGUGAAAGCUCGGGGCUCAACCCCGGGUCGGCCGUGCGAACUGGGCUCACUGGAGCAUAGUAGAGGCAGGUGGAAUUCCGGGUGUAGCGGUGGAAUGCGUAGAGAUCCGGAAGAACACCGGUGGCGAAGGCGGCCUGCUGGGCUAUGGCUGACACUGAGGCGCGACAGCGUGGGGGAGCAAACAGGG